AAAAUCAUUACAUAAUCAUUCUUUAAGUAGUAGAGGCCCUUAAACGUUGUCAUUAUACCUUCCAAGUCAUAAUGGACUUAUGUCAAUAUGGAUAGUGUUAGUAGGUCAUAUGCUCUCAUGGAUACAACAUGUGCGCUACUCACCUUCAUGGUCUAAAAGUAAAGUCAAAAGGACAUUUGAGAACAGCGUGUGAGACUUGUUAUUUAAUAUACUAGGCUAGUUGUGUACAUUAAUGCAGUGUAACCAUAUCACCAUCCUCUAUUCCCCUUGUCCGCCUGACCUUUCUCCAGACUCUAUACCCAAUGUAUCUAUGUAACUAUCCAUAUUAUCUUUUAAAAUUCACAUAAAAUUUACUUUCUUAUAUUUUAUACUUUAUUUCAAAUCUCAAUAUCAUAUUUCAUCUUCCAAUCAUUCUUCCACAUUUAUUUUUCAUACAAACCUUGCAACUAAAAUUUAUUAACAAAACUUUUGACAGCAUAAUGACUACAUUUUGAAUAUCCCAUAAUUUUAAAAUAGUCUAAAUUUUAAGAUAACAAAUACAAUUUAUCCUAAUAAAUAUUUAAUAUCAAAUUAUCAAGGUACUGAAAAUUUGACAUAAUUGGAUUUUUUUUUUUUAUCAAAUUACACUACAAUUUUCUAAUUCAAAAUACAUAUUCUAGUAUAUUGUGUAUAGAUUUAAACCUUUCACGCAUUGUUUGACUUAAAACAAUAAACAAGGUUGUUGUCCAGAAAAAACAGUAUCAAUACAAAAUAUUAAAAUCAACAACUAGAAAAACUUAAUUCCCACAUAUGAAUUUGAAGUAAACCAACAAACUUAUUUUAUUUAUAAUUUUUUCAACAAACCUUCAAAUAAGGUGGUUUUCAAACCUAUCCCUAAGUUUGUAUACAUAAGAAAUCCAUUUCUGAACUCAAAAUUAGGCAAAUUGUAUACUUGGAGAAAAAUUUGUCAAAAUAGCUAGUGAUUCGGAUUGACCCACUUACCUUAAUGAAGUAUCAAAGUGAUAGUACUCUAAGAUUGAAAUGGAAGGAUCAAAGUGAUAUAUGCCCUUAUUUAAGUUACCCCUAAAAAAUUGUUAAAAGAGAGAAAAUAAUAGUUUAUAGAGUAGGACUUAAGAAGAAUAUGAAGGAAUAAAUCAUAACUCUAACUUUAGUUGAAUAAAAUUAUAUGACUAAGAAUUUAAAUAAAUAAGAAAGGAAGAGAAGAUAGGAGGAAAAGAAAGCUUCAGUUGGGUAUUUCUUUC
RNAcentral lists this long non-coding RNA (1241 nucleotides) under Phaseolus vulgaris (common bean). RNAcentral's name for it is "long non-coding RNA (PVUL_LNC002570)". The record is from RNAcentral. Lineage: Eukaryota; Viridiplantae; Streptophyta; Magnoliopsida; Fabales; Fabaceae.